This 234-nucleotide long non-coding RNA is filed under the name Bos taurus (domestic cattle). RNAcentral's name for it is "long non-coding RNA NONBTAT022346". Lineage: Eukaryota; Metazoa; Chordata; Mammalia; Artiodactyla; Bovidae. The record is from RNAcentral.
GAAAUUAAGCUACUUGCCUUUUAUUUUACUGUAAAAGAAACUUAGGCUUCCCAAAGAAACGUUGAGUUUCAGUGGUCCCUCGGAGGUGAUAAGGGAAGACACAAUCUGCUACAGUAAUGUCGUGGAAACAUUCAUUUAUGGAGGCCUUACCAGGAAUGGGAAAAUGCCCACUGCUGGGAGAUGGGCAUGUGGGAGGUUUGUGAACUUUUUAGGGAAGUGCAACUUUUGAAUGCC